RNAcentral lists this non-coding RNA (23 nucleotides) under Cricetulus griseus (Chinese hamster). Lineage: Eukaryota; Metazoa; Chordata; Mammalia; Rodentia; Cricetidae. The record is from RNAcentral.
AACUCAAUCACACAGGAACAAGA